UAAAAGGACACCUUUUCAUUUACAAUUUGUCAUAAACCUCAUUUUGUUAAGACAAGAAUCGUGAGAAAAUCGUAUUGUGAAAUCAGUAUCAUGAAUUCUAUUGCACUGAUUUGAGUGAAUGCUUACAUGCCUACUGUUGACUAUUUUCUGUUACCGCUUUAGUUACAUGGAUGAUAUAAACUGAACUUGCUCUUGAACUAAAACCACUGGCUUCAACUAAACUCUUCAUGUCAUCUGUGUGAUUUAACAGCUAGAGAUGGAGUGUAGAAACGAGAUAACACGGAGAAAACGACUGGAGCAUCAGAAAACAGAUCGGAAAUAAAUCAACAGGACAGAGAGAAAAAUGGAGGCCAGAAAUGAGACACAAACCAGUGAAACACAAGAGAAAAGCAGACAGAUGCUUGUUAGAUGUGACAGUAUGAAGAUAAUAAAACCAAACUUCUCACGUGAUCCAGACGGACCUGUAAACCUUCAUUCUGAUGAAACUUCAGCAUGUUCUGAAGAACACACAGCAUCCCUGAGACAGCAGCAGCUAAAGACAACAGCAUCCUCAUCACAGACUCCAUCCAUCCACACUACAGUCUGGUCAGAUCCUCAGGGACGUGCACAGACAUUUUGAGCAGAAAGGGCUCAAGUGGGAAAAAAAGGCACUUCUCAUAUUUAUUUAGUUAUUUUUUUCAACAAAAAAAAAGAAAAGAAAAGUUAAAUAUAUUAACACAACUCUGACUUAAUUACCAAUUUAUUUUAAUUCCCUCACACUCACCCAGUUGUUUCAUGUUGUUUAAUUUUUAAACAGAUCAGAAACAAAUAAUCAGUUCACAUAGAGACCAUUGGUCUUCUUUAGCAUUCACUAAUUUUAUGACAAGAACAGGCAACAACGAAGGAAACUAAGCCCCAAUGUGCAACAAGUAUGUAUUUAGAAUAAAUGACUGCACAAAGGUGAGGGACAUAUUUUCACUAAUAAUUUGUUCAUUUUGCACAAGACAAUAAAUUGUUUGAAUUAUUUUGGUGUUAUUGUAAUGUAUAUGCAUAUGAUGGAUUUGCAUAUGAUGGACAUAUGAUGGAUUUGGUCCAUCAGCAUGGCGCCGCAAAUGGCAGCAAGGACGCUGAGCUCCGCAAUUCUUCUAUUGUUUUUGUUUGUUUGUUCUGUGUUUUGUCAUUCUUCUUCUAUAAGUUUUACCAGAGACGAACUCCUUAACAUUAAGCAGCACAUCCCGGACAACAUUUUUCCGUUUUUUGAUCAUUCGGACGUUUUGUUGGACAUUCUAGUCCUAUACUUCUAUUUCUGUAUAUAGUACAUUAU
Molecule: long non-coding RNA, 1303 nt
Organism: Sinocyclocheilus grahami
Lineage: Eukaryota; Metazoa; Chordata; Actinopteri; Cypriniformes; Cyprinidae
Source: Ensembl